AGCUAUUGAAUCCACUGCUAGAAUGGAAGAAUCCUAUGCACAUGAAAAAGGACUUGACGGUUGGUUUAGGCUUUCUUUGGCCUGACUGAUCGAAGGCGUGGUAGGCUUCUUUCGUGGUAGACCAGGCCCCUUUCUCUUCUAUCUCUUCUCUAAUUCUUCUUACAUUUCUUUCUUCGAGAGUGGUGCUGCGAGAUCAACCACGGGUUCGAUUGACCCGUCUCUUCUGAGGUGCGCCGCGUUGAUAGGUCGUCGCAAGGAAUU
Molecule: long non-coding RNA, 261 nt
Filed under: Gossypium barbadense (sea-island cotton)
Lineage: Eukaryota; Viridiplantae; Streptophyta; Magnoliopsida; Malvales; Malvaceae
Description: long non-coding RNA (GBAR_LNC005512)
Source: RNAcentral